This 120-nucleotide ribosomal RNA is filed under the name Marsupiomonas sp. NIES 1824. Lineage: Eukaryota; Viridiplantae; Chlorophyta; Pedinophyceae; Marsupiomonadales; Marsupiomonadaceae. The record is from RNAcentral.
GUUCUGGUGUUCAUGCCUUUUUGGAACCACGCUAAUCCAUCUCGAACUUAGCUGUGAAACGAAAAGGGGGCAAGAAUACUGCGCGGGGGACUGCGUGGGAAGGCAGCCUAAUGCCAGGAC